GAGUUUGAUCUUGGCUCAGAGUGAACGCUGGCGGCAUGCCUAACACAUGCAAGUCGAACGGUAACAGGCCCGCAAGGGUGCUGACGAGUGGCGGGACGGGUGAGGAACACAUCGGAAUCUGCCCGGUUGUGGGGGAUAACGUAGGGAAACUUACGCUAAUACCGCAUACGACCUUAGGGUGAAAGCGGGGGAUCAGCAAUGACCUCGCGCAGUCGGAUGAGCCGAUGUCGGAUUAGCUAGUUGGCGGGGUAAAGCCCACAAGGCGACGAUCCGUAGCUGGUCUGAGAGGAUGAUCAGCCACACUGGGACUGAGACACGGCCCAGACUCCUACGGGAGGCAGCAGUGGGGAAUAUUGGACAAUGGGGGCAACCCUGAUCCAGCAAUGCCGCGUGUGUGAAG
This 400-nucleotide ribosomal RNA is filed under the name uncultured bacterium. Its description in RNAcentral is "bacterial SSU rRNA". It matches the Rfam family "Bacterial small subunit ribosomal RNA", at positions 9 to 410 of the family's 1533-position model. The record is from RNAcentral.